UAUUAUUAAAGGGCCGCGGUAAUUUGACCGUGCAAAGGUAGCAUAAUCGUUAGUUCCUUAAUUGGGAUCUUGUAUGAACGGUCGGACAAGAGAAUGACUGUCUCUAUGUUUUUGUUGAAUUUAACUUUUAAGUGAAAAGGCUUAAAUAUUUUAGAAAGACGAUAAGACCCUAUAAAGCAUUUUGUUGGGGCGACAAUGAUAAAAUGGUUAACUGUUUAUAAUAAGAAACAAAAUUUUAUGAAAUGAUCCUUUAAUAAAGAUUAAAAGUUUAAGUUACUUUAGGGAUAACAGCGUUAUUUUUUUUGAGAGUUCAUAUCGAAAAAAAAGUUUGCGACCUCGAUGUUGAAUUAAAAUUUCUAUAUAGUUGCAGCAGCUAUAUAAGAAGGUCUGUUCGACCUUUAAAUUUUU
RNAcentral lists this ribosomal RNA (408 nucleotides) under Gelasimus borealis. RNAcentral describes it as "partial 16S large subunit ribosomal RNA". It matches the Rfam family "Bacterial large subunit ribosomal RNA", at positions 1918 to 2597 of the family's 2925-position model. The record is from RNAcentral. Lineage: Eukaryota; Metazoa; Arthropoda; Malacostraca; Decapoda; Ocypodidae.